GAUGAACGCUGGCGGCGUGCUUAACACAUGCAAGUCGAACGGAAAGGCCAGUGCUUGCCCUGGUACUCGAGUGGCGAACGGGUGAGUAACACGUGGGUGAUCUGCCCUGCACUUCGGGAUAAGCCUGGGAAACUGGGUCUAAUACCGGAUAGGACAAUGGUUUGGAUGCCGUUGUGGAAAGUUUUUUCGGUGUGGGAUGAGCUCGCGGCCUAUCAGCUUGUUGGUGGGGUAAUGGCCUACCAAGGCGUCGACGGGUAGCCGGCCUGAGAGGGUGUACGGCCACAUUGGGACUGAGAUACGGCCCAGACUCCUACGGGAGGCAGCAGUGGGGAAUAUUGCACAAUGGGCGCAAGCCUGAUGCAGCGACGCCGCGUGGGGGAUGACGGCCUUCGGGUUGUAAACUCCUUUCGCUAGGGACGAAGCGUAUUUGUGACGGUACCUGGAGAAGAAGCACCGGCUAAGUACGUG
RNAcentral lists this ribosomal RNA (468 nucleotides) under uncultured bacterium. RNAcentral's name for it is "partial 16S ribosomal RNA". It matches the Rfam family "Bacterial small subunit ribosomal RNA", at positions 28 to 507 of the family's 1533-position model. The record is from RNAcentral.